This 290-nucleotide ribosomal RNA is filed under the name uncultured bacterium. Its description in RNAcentral is "partial 16S ribosomal RNA". It matches the Rfam family "Bacterial small subunit ribosomal RNA", at positions 338 to 620 of the family's 1533-position model. The record is from RNAcentral.
CCUACGGGGGGCAGCAGUAGGGAAUCUUCCACAAUGGACGAAAGUCUGAUGGAGCAACGCCGCGUGAGUGAAGAAGGGUUUCGGCUCGUAAAGCUCUGUUGGUAGUGAAGAAAGAUAGAGGUAGUAACUGGCCUUUAUUUGACGGUAAUUACUUAGAAAGUCACGGCUAACCACGUGCCAGCAGCCGCGGUAAUACGUAGGUGGCAAGCGUUGUCCGGAUUUAUUGGGCGUAAAGCGAGUGCAGGCGGUUCAAUAAAGCUUGUGUGGAAACCUUUGGCGCAACCGGAGAA